CAUCCAACCCUGACGAACAUUACCGACCUCCACUAGCUCACACUGUACCACACAUACCGACCCAACACCACAUUUUUCCCUUUUUUUUCCCUAAGCAGGAACAACCACAGAAACCGGACGCGGCGCAGUCGACGUCACCUCGGCAUGUGACGUCUCCUUCAUACCGAGCCAGUCCGACAGCAUGCCUCUGCCCGGGGUCCAGCUCUGCCCACUGCUCCUUGGUGACAGCCCACGCCUGCUCCACAUUCAGCCACGACAACUGAACCGCACUGAACACCACCUGUCAGACACACACCCGACACAAAUAGCAGCGGUUAUAUUAUAUAUGUUCUUACAAGUGUCCACAGUUUAUCUUGUAUGGUUUAAUUUGAGACAGUAAGCUGCUUGCCACAUUGCUAAUAAGUCUUUGAGACAGUUAUCCCACUGUUAACGGUCCCUCUUCUGUAUAGUCCAGUUUAUUAAGAUAAUCUGACAUUUUGCCUUUGGUUUACAUGUAAAGCCAGUUUUAUUAUGAUUUAAGCAGUUAGCAUUUUACAGGAAAAAAAGGCCAAAACAUGUUUGUGAGUUAUAUUGUCAUGACCUAAUUGCUGUAUUUCAUUUUAAUAUAACUUUUAUAUAAUACUAAUAUAACUAGCUAAAUCUAUAAACUCAUAGUUUGAAAAAUA
This is a long non-coding RNA of Dicentrarchus labrax (European seabass), 665 nucleotides long. RefSeq lists it as uncharacterized. NCBI's taxonomy places the organism in Eukaryota, Metazoa, Chordata, Actinopteri, Moronidae. The record is from RefSeq and is a predicted model, not a curated record. The transcript is spliced from 2 exons.